RNAcentral lists this long non-coding RNA (546 nucleotides) under Struthio camelus australis. RNAcentral describes it as "lncRNA (ENSSCUG00000014213.1)". Lineage: Eukaryota; Metazoa; Chordata; Aves; Struthioniformes; Struthionidae. The record is from RNAcentral.
UCCAGAGCUGCUGGUCCUUGCUUCACCAAGAGGAACUGUUGUUGAAUGUUAGGAAACAAAAUCUAUGGAUCUGUGGAUCUGUCCCUUAGAGAUAACUACAGCUGCAAGAACUGCACUUCUGAAAGCAGUGAUGAUGAAGACCCUGUUCUGAAAGGUUACCUGCUAUUGGGCUAUUCUUCACUAACUGGUCGGCUUUUCCCGGUGCUCUAGCCUGUGCAGUAAGUGCAAGCCUGGAUAAGCCAAAUGGCUUAUCUACUCAGUCAGCUUCUUACUUUUUUAUAGCGUGAGGCCUGACGUAAAACACAGCCAAAUCAGGGGGAAUCUUUGAAUGGAGAUGACCAUAUUUUGAAUCUAGCGUUCUUGUCAUUCCAAAAAAGUCUGAACCUGCCAGAUCUUAAGCUCUGAGCAUGAUAGUUAUUUUGUUGUCUCUGCCCUAUUGUGGCACUUGCUUUUCAUUCACCUGCAUGAAGAGCAUCUGCCUCUGUCGUGCUCCGAGACCCGCGUGCUAAGCAGCAGCUGAUCAGCAGUUCCACGAUUCACCAACCA